UUGGAUCAAGAAAGUCAUUGGAAGAAGAGGAACAUCGGGGAAAUGUGCUUUAUUAAGAUGAAUAAUACAAUUAAUAAGAGGACGGAUACUCAAAAUUUAAGUUCUGUAUAUAAUGUAAUUUUAAAUUGUGACAGGGCCCAUAGUUUUGAUGGUACGGGUAUGUAGAUGACUGUUUUUUUUUUUGUGAGAACAUACAGUACAUUAUUAUCAGCUGUUAUUACCUGAGAGAAGAACUUGUAGUAUUGACAGAGUUUUAGUUAAUUAAUAUUUGUUAUUUAUUAGUUAAUGUUUAUCAAUUGAAACACGAAUAAAUGAAUUUGGAAUAUGAUGUGAAUAAGUUCAGGUUGUUAGCCUGCCUCGAUUCAUUUGACAUGUUUUUAACAAUUGAUGUUUGAUAAUUGAGCACCUGAAGAAGUCGGGAAACCGAUGAAACGUUGUGAAAAUUUAACAUAAACAUCGAAUAAAUAUUUCCAAUAAACUGUGAA
RNAcentral lists this long non-coding RNA (485 nucleotides) under Cotesia glomerata. RNAcentral describes it as "uncharacterized LOC123273963". Lineage: Eukaryota; Metazoa; Arthropoda; Insecta; Hymenoptera; Braconidae. The record is from RNAcentral.